GAUGAACGCUGGUGGCGUGCCUAAUACAUGCAAGUCGAGCGAACAGACGAGGAGCUUGCUCCUUUGACGUUAGCGGCGGACGGGUGAGUAACACGUGGGUAACCUACCUAUAAGACUGGGAUAACUUCGGGAAACCGGAGCUAAUACCGGAUAAUAUUUCGAACCGCAUGGUUCGAUAGUGAAAGAUGGCUUUGCUAUCACUUAUAGAUGGACCUGCGCCGUAUUAGCUAGUUGGUAAGGUAACGGCUUACCAAGGCAACGAUACGUAGCCGACCUGAGAGGGUGAUCGGCCACACUGGAACUGAGACACGGUCCAGACUCCUACGGGAGGCAGCAGUAGGGAAUCUUCCGCAAUGGGCGAAAGCCUGACGGAGCAACGCCGCGUGAGUGAUGAAGGUCUUCGGAUCGUAAAACUCUGUUAUUAGGGAAGAACAAACGUGUAAGUAACUGUGCACGUCUUGACGGUACCUAAUCAGAAAGCCACGGCUAACUACGUG
RNAcentral lists this ribosomal RNA (497 nucleotides) under uncultured bacterium. RNAcentral's name for it is "partial 16S ribosomal RNA". It matches the Rfam family "Bacterial small subunit ribosomal RNA", at positions 28 to 507 of the family's 1533-position model. The record is from RNAcentral.